GCAUAAUCAUUAGUCUUUUAAUUGAAGGCUGGUAUGAAUGGCGGGACGAAGUAUUUACUGUCUCUUUUAUAAUGAAAUAGAACUUAAUUUUUUAGUCAAAAAGCUAAAAUAAUAUUGGAGGACGAGAAGACCCUAUAGAGCUUAACAUAGAAUAUUUAAUUUUUAUUUAUUUUUAAAAUUUAAAUUUGCUGUGUUUAGUUGGGGUGAUUGAAAGAUAAAAAUAACUCUUUUUAUUUGUGAUCACAAAUGAGUGUGUUUUUGAUCCGUUUUUUACGAUUAAAAGAUUAAGUUACCUUAGGGAUAACAGCGUAAUUCUUUUCGAGAGUUCUAAUCGACAAAAGAGUUUGCGACCUCGAUGUUGGACUAAGAUUAAUCUUGGGUGUAGAAGUUCAAGUUUUAGGUCUGUUCGACCAUUAAAUUCUUACAU
Molecule: ribosomal RNA, 427 nt
Filed under: Lachlania alcidesi
Lineage: Eukaryota; Metazoa; Arthropoda; Insecta; Ephemeroptera; Oligoneuriidae
Description: partial 16S ribosomal RNA
Rfam family: Bacterial large subunit ribosomal RNA
Source: RNAcentral